UAUAAAAUAAAUCUUAAAUGCGAAGGCUGAGCUUGUUUUUUAUUAAUUAAAUUAUCUCAUGGAUCUGUUUUAGUACAAUAGAUCACAUCCACACAGUAAAGCAGAUUACACAGAAUACCGAAGAGUAUAAUCAGCCUCUGUGUCUAGCCUUUGUGGACUAU
This is a non-coding RNA of Plutella xylostella (diamondback moth), 161 nucleotides long. Lineage: Eukaryota; Metazoa; Arthropoda; Insecta; Lepidoptera; Plutellidae. The record is from RefSeq and is a predicted model, not a curated record.